GCUCUGUGAUGAACCCCAUGCGUGUCAUCUGAGCCUGGCUUCCCUGCCAUCUCAGCCCAGGGUAGUGUUCUACUUCCCAGGGCUGUUGUCUGGCUUGGCAGGGAGGUCCUGGGCAAAGGAUCAGUCUCUGUAUUCUGAGAGC
This is a small nucleolar RNA of Microcebus murinus (gray mouse lemur), 142 nucleotides long. Ensembl annotates it as small nucleolar RNA, C/D box 10. Its record names the gene SNORD10. The record is from Ensembl. Lineage: Eukaryota; Metazoa; Chordata; Mammalia; Primates; Cheirogaleidae.